UAGGGAGUCUUUUGCAAUGGACGAACGUCUGACCGACCAACGCCGCGUGCGUGAAGAAGGUUUUCGGAUCGUAAAACUCUGUUGUUAGAGAAGAACAAGGACGUUAGUAACUGAACGUCCCCUGACGGUAUCUAACCAGAAAGCCACGGCUAACUACGUGCCAGCAGCCGCGGUAAUACGUAGGUGGCAAGCGUUGUCCGGAUUUAUUGGGCGUAAAGCGAGCGCAGGCGGUUUCUUAAGUCUGAUGUGAAAGCCCCCGGCUCAACCGGGGAGGGUCAGUGGAAACUGGGAGAAUUGAGUGCAGAAGAGGAGAGUGGAAUUCCAUGUGUAGCGGUGAAAUGCGUAGAUAUAUGGAGGAACACCAGUGGCGAAGGCGGCUCUCUGGUCUGUAACUGACGCUGAGGCUAGAAAGCGUGGGGAGCAAACAGG
RNAcentral lists this ribosomal RNA (429 nucleotides) under Gemmatimonadota bacterium. RNAcentral describes it as "Gemmatimonadetes bacterium partial 16S ribosomal RNA". It matches the Rfam family "Bacterial small subunit ribosomal RNA", at positions 355 to 776 of the family's 1533-position model. The record is from RNAcentral. Lineage: Bacteria; Pseudomonadati; Gemmatimonadota.